GCCGACUUAGCUCAGUAGGUAGAGCAACUGACUUGUAAUCAGUAGGUCAGCAGUUCGAUUCCGGUAGUCGACACCA
This 76-nucleotide transfer RNA is filed under the name Enterobacter cancerogenus. RNAcentral's name for it is "tRNA-Thr". It matches the Rfam family "tRNA". Rfam says of the family: Transfer RNA (tRNA) molecules are approximately 80 nucleotides in length. Their secondary structure includes four short double-helical elements and three loops (D, anti-codon, and T loops). RNAcentral also lists the same sequence under 1 other name. Lineage: Bacteria; Pseudomonadati; Pseudomonadota; Gammaproteobacteria; Enterobacterales; Enterobacteriaceae. The record is from RNAcentral.